This 254-nucleotide ribosomal RNA is filed under the name uncultured bacterium. RNAcentral's name for it is "partial 16S ribosomal RNA". It matches the Rfam family "Bacterial small subunit ribosomal RNA", at positions 524 to 776 of the family's 1533-position model. The record is from RNAcentral.
UACGUAGGGUGCAAGCGUUGUCCGGAAUUAUUGGGCGUAAAGAGCUCGUAGCGGUUUGUCGCGUCUGCUGUGAAAACCCGAGGCUCAACCUCGGGCCUGCAGUGGGUACGGGCAGACUAGAGUGCGGUAGGGGGAGAAUUGGAAUUCCUGGUGUAGCGGUGGAAUGCGCAGAUAUCAGGAGGAACACCAAUGGCGAAGGCAGAUCUCUGGGCCGUAACUGACGCUGAGGAGCGAAAGCAUGGGGAGCGAACAGG